Molecule: ribosomal RNA, 253 nt
Filed under: uncultured bacterium
Lineage: Bacteria
Description: partial 16S ribosomal RNA
Rfam family: Bacterial small subunit ribosomal RNA
Source: RNAcentral
UACAGUGGGGGCAAGCGUUGUUCGGAAUUACUGGGCGUAAAGGGCUCGUAGGCGGCCAACUAAGUCCGACGUGAAAUCCCAAAGCUUAACUUUGGAACUGCGUCGGAUACUGGAUGGCUUGAAUUCGGGAGAGGGAUGCAGAAUUCCAGGUGUAGCGGUGAAAUGCGUAGAUAUCUGGAGGAAUACCGGUGGCGAAGGCGGCAUCCUGGACCGACAUUGACGCUGAUGAGCGAAAGCGUGGGGAGCAAACAGG